UGCAGAUGAUGUUAAAGAAUAUUUGCUAUCUUAUCAGCAAUGCAGACAGUAUUCCACCAAGAUCACUGAUGCA
Small nucleolar RNA from Pygocentrus nattereri (red-bellied piranha), 73 nucleotides. Its record names the gene SNORD24. It matches the Rfam family "Small nucleolar RNA SNORD24". From Rfam's summary of the family: U24 is a member of the C/D class of snoRNA which contain the C (UGAUGA) and D (CUGA) box motifs. NCBI's taxonomy places the organism in Eukaryota, Metazoa, Chordata, Actinopteri, Characiformes, Serrasalmidae. The record is from Ensembl.